This is a long non-coding RNA of Corvus hawaiiensis (hawaiian crow), 6753 nucleotides long. RefSeq lists it as uncharacterized. The transcript has 3 exons. Lineage: Eukaryota; Metazoa; Chordata; Aves; Passeriformes; Corvidae. The record is from RefSeq and is a predicted model, not a curated record.
CCCCUCUCCGCUUGGCCUUUUCCUGUUCACAGGCUCCUGCACAAUGAGCCGAGCCGUAGCCAUAGCGACGGCAUGGAAGGAGGCUUUUUUUGUCUACAUAAGUUAAAACAAAAUAUAUGUGAGGAAAACAACCCUUCCCCCUCCCCUCUUCUUGUAAAGAGCCUUCGCUGUCCAUAUAAUUCAAAAAAGCCAGUGCAAACUUUUCCUCCGAAAAAGCGUGUGGGGGCUUUACUGCAUUCCUGCAGGCGGUGUUUUGUCUUGGGAGGAGAGUCGCCGUCCUAGAGCCUGGCCCGCGGGAAGCGGAGGUGUCAGCUCAGGGAAAGCACCACCUCCGUACGGAGAGGGACUCGGGAAAGCUCGGCGUAAUUCCCCGCCAGGCAGCGCUGCCCCGGGCUGGAGGCCAGCCCAGGGGUGUGAGUCGUGCCUCCUUAUCUUUGAGCUGACCAGAAGCUUUACUUCCUUCGGCUUGCACAAGCUUCCUCCUCACAGCGCUCGCCUCUCGGGGCUCUCCCUCCGCAUCCCUCGGGGAGCAAAAGCUGAGCGGGAGCGCUCACAGGGACCGACGGACGGCAGCGCCGAGGGAUGAAACCUGCCGGCUUUAAAUCAUUCACCUCACGCAACAGACUCGGCUGUGCCCGGUUGUUUUGCUUGCCUGGGCAAGAUUGCUUAAAUGGGUUUUUUUUCCCUUUCCCUUUCCUUUUUUUUUUUUUUUUUUUUCCCAAACUCAGGUUUCAGAGAAGUGGCUGCAAUUUAAAGGAAGGCCUCAGCUCCUGUCUGAAACCAAGCAGCAAAGCAGCACCGUGCCUGCUGCUCAUGUUUAAUCUCACUGCAAACUCAAAGCAGGCUCUAACUUCACCAUCCAGGAGAGAUUCCCUCCCAGGACUCUUUUUUCUCCCCCCAAGGCUUGGCUAAGUUUUGUUUGCUGUCCGACUGGUUUUUGGUAAAUACAACCUUGAUGGAGGGCUUCAGAACCCAUCAGGAGCUCAGACUUGUCCCCACAAGGAGCUUGUGGAGGAGAGGGUGUACGGUUGAAGACAGUGGAUGUGGGCUCUGGGGCGGGAGCACAGCCCAACACCAGCGCAGCACUGGGAGAUGCACCUCUCCCGACCUGAGCUCUGACUUUUUCUGCAAUCAGAAACACUCUGUGUUUGAUAACAGAAUAAAGCACAGAUUUACUCCAGCCCAAAGCAAGAGACAAAAAGCCCCAAGGGAUAAUUAGCUUGAGAGGAUGGAAAACAAACACCCUGUUCAGAAAACCGGCUCUCAGGUAAAUAGUUUUGUUUAUUUGUGUUUUGAACUUUGCAUAUUUUGAUUGUUGAUAUAGCAGGUGUCAGAUGGUCACAUCCACUCAAAGGGAAAAGGAACCUCCGUUUUUUGAACUGUUUCCCUUCUCCACUGAAACAGACUAAAAAUAAUGUGCUUUGGUAAGAUGAAACCAGGUGCCCAUCCGCUCCUGAAAGUUUGCUGUCCAGUAUGAUGAGGUGGUUUUACAUCUUCCAAAUCACCUCCCAGGAACCCACUGUGAAGGGAUGGGACAUGAAUCCCUGAAAUUCCUACUAGAAACCUUUCUCCACACAGGGAAAAAACAUGAGAGACACGGUAGUUUUCCACAUGAAAGCCCAUCAGUGUUUCCAAGUAACUGGAUAUUGCAGUGUUAUUUUUGAAACACACUGAUAAAACUGCAGGGUGAGAUUUUGCAAAGCUGGUUACUAUAAUUGGACGCCCAGAUACCACUGUGAAGGUACCCUUGAACAGUCUUUAUUGCUCUCACGAUGAGCAAACUCCAGUCUGGGCUCCCUGUGAUCUCCCUGAACUUCCAGAUUUGGCCCACUUGAGUCACUGACACACAAACACCACCACACACCUUGUGCAGGAGGAAACAAGACUUGUAGUUUUGGUUUGUUGUCUUGUGCCUUUUGCAAUCAGUUUACAUGAUAGGAUUUGGGUUUCUGCCCCAGCCAGCUUCCUGCCACAGCCUAGGACAAAUGUACAAGAACAUUUUCAACCUCUGCCUCAAAUGUUUUUUAGCUACAUUUGCAGGUACAUGGGAGUUAACAUAGAGGGAUGGAUCAAACUCUGCAUUCACCACUCCUGGAGGUCAUAACCUCUGUACAGAGGUGUAGCUUUGCCACUGGGGCAGAAAAUGUAAGUUAAAAAGGAGGCAGGAGAAGAGAUCUGCAGCACUGAAGGAGGCCAGGUGCAGGGGCUGACCACAGCCUGCCACAGGAAGCCACACACCCAACAGAGGAAGCAGCAUCCAAGGAAACAGUUUAGACUUUAUCCUUUCCAGAUAAUGUAAUCAGAACAAACUAGAAGACUUAUUUCACAAAAUCAGAAGUCUUAGAGGUACAUUCUUGGGAUACAUUAAUAAUAUCUGGAUUAUUUUUACCUCCCAUUGAUGUAAUUAGCCACAACUCAGUGGAUUAGCAAGUACUGGAUUUGGUGGUGUGGGAGCAGGAAUUAUUUGUUGCUGAAGAGCAACAGGCAGAACUAGCAGAUGGAGGCAGCAACAAGUGCUAGGAUCAAAGAAAUAACACCUUAUUAAUCCAGUUUUAAACAAAACGAAACUAGCUGAAAAUUUGAGGGAUAGUGGCUGUUCUUUAGCCAGGCAAGAAAGCACACCCAUUUUAUGUAACUACAUUUUUCUGAAAGCUGUAAAGCUGCCAGACUGUAAAACAGGGUGAUAAACCAAAGUCCGCUGCAUUACAAAGUACAGCUAGUCCAAAUGACAGUGAAGUCAGGACAAGGCUGAAGAAUCCCAAAGGAAAACAAAAAUAAAUUACAUAAGCAAAUACUCAGGAUUUAUAGACAUGAGUUGACUACCUCCUCAGCACAAAGUAAUAAAAUUAUUCUGUAUUUGUAUGCUGGGUUUGCCAUCACCACAAUUUAAAAUUUGAUUACAGAAGUCCUGCAGGCACUCAGAACCACAGAGCUCCUUUACCUGCCACUUGGGCUUGGUGUCAGCAAGCUAUUAUUUUCUGCUGUUAAAAGCCAAAGCACUUUUCACCCCCGCAGCUCAACAUAGUCAGACAUCCCUGCUUCACUCCCAGGCAGGGCCAGGUUUGCCUCUAGGCACCCAUAGCCGUGUGCCUCUCCAGCACAGUUUGGGCAGCUGGGGCUUCCCUUACACGGGCUUACAUCUGGUUUCUCAGCUGGGGUACUUUCUGCAAUAAGCACAGGACUGCAAAAGUGAAACUUCCUUUUAACACAGGUCUAAAAGCAAGUAGAGGUGUAGAGGAGGAUGUGACAUUAUCUCCUGUUUGUUCUUAAAGAAGCUGUUGAGACUUUUGGAUCCAAGAAGUGAUGGUCCUUUCACUUAACUUAUAAAGCAUCAGGUGCUCCUGUUAACAGAAGUACAGAAUGUAACCCAAAUGUAAAUGCACCUCAGGCACAUGCAGCUUGCAAUAAAAGGUUUAGAAGCACCAGUAUGCUGUGGGCUGUGCUGGGCCAGCCCUCACCCCUUGCCAGAGCACAGCCACAGCCCCUCAGCUGGCUGGGCUGCCCUGCAUGUGCAAAGCCACAUGGGGACAGUGGCACUUGCAGCUGGUCCUUCUCUUUCAUGAUCUUUUCUAAGUUCAGCCACGGAGGCCUUACUUUACACAGCUCCAAACAGCACCAAGCCCAGCACAGGUGCUGCAGGAUGUUUCGGAGGAGUUUCUGUGGGAGCUGGCACAGGACAGAGGGGCAUGGAGGUGUCCAUGAGCAACUGGAAGUUCCCAACCCCGUGGUGCACAAGCACUUGCUGUCCACUGAAGGUCGCACCGAGUACUCCGUGGGAGAGACAGAUGCCUGGGGAAAUGACCACAGACAACUCCAAGUGUAAAAUCCUCGUAGUAUUGUUUCUGGUGAUACUGCAGCCAGCAAAACCUGCCUGGCUGCAGCGUGGGGGACACCUGCAGGCUCAGCACCUGCCAACACACACACGGAGACGCACUGUGCCAGCCAAUGCCAAGACUGUGUCCUUUUCCAGGGAGGCUGAGCCCCAGCAGCCUCAUGACAUGGCAAACAGUGUUUGAGAAAAGCCUGGUUUGUCCGAGGCAGCUUCUCUGCAGCGGGGCUGAGCUGUGGCAGCUGGGAUUUAGUGCCUGCUGGGACACCACAGCCAGAGUCACAGCUGUGGGCUCGGUGUGGCCCAUGGUGGGAGCGUGAUGGAGGAGAAACCUGCUGAGGUAAACACAGGCAGACGUGGGGAGCAAGCAUGGAUUUGUCCCUCCCCAGGCUUUUGGGCAUGCCAAGGGCAGGGGAGGGCUGGCAGUGGGUCUGCUCAGCUGCUGGGCCCACUCAGCAACUACUCGGCAUCACAGGGAAAGGAAGCUCAAACUUCUCCUUCAGACAGGGAAGUGCCUUGUCUGAAGAGGCUUCGGACUGGAACGUGACAGGCCCAGGGUGUGUUACGGCGCCGUGGAUAACAGCAUGCUUGGCUGCCUGUCUCACAGGCAGUGGCCUGGCACAUGGGGUAAAACACACUCUGAGUUUUGUAAGUGAAGAAAUACAGUGCCCUGUGGAGAAGCAGCAAGCAUUCCCAAAAACAGCUUUCUGCAACACAGCUGGCUUGAAACAUCAGUAUUUUUUCCAGAGAGUCUCUUUUACCAAAACACUGCAAACUCAGCCACUACCCCAGGCCAGGCAAGUACAGCCAGGAUGAUGUCCAGGGCUGACUUCAAGUCAGCCCUCCCUGUGACACCUGAGAACAACCUCCAUAGACAUCCAGCAGUGCUGCCAUCAUUAACUAAAUCCCCUUUUUUUCAGAGUAGUUUAUUUAAUCACAUAGUCUCAGAGUUAUGUGUGACUCACAUCACGUGUGAGUGAGCGCACAUGAGUUCCUCUUCUUCUGCCCCGUUAAAGCCAUAGUUAAAAGACUUUUCCCACAGAGAUAUAGUGGAGUUUUACUUAAUUCACAGCAAAUACAGUCAGUACCUGAGUGAUAAUGUGCAUAAAUAGUACAUGAUUUGCACCCGAUCAGGUUUUUUUUGUGUAGUUUCCAUUAAAGGUGUAGCAGUGAACUUCUAAUGCUCGUGUCCAGCUGUGGGAUGAGUGGGAUAAAAGUGGGCUGGGUGGAAAGCUGGCUGAAGGGCAGGGCUCAGAGGGUUGUAGUGAAUGGGACUACAUCUGGCUGGUCACCAGUGGUGCUCCUCAGGGCUCAGUUCUAGGGCCAGUUCUGUUCAGUGUUUGGAGAAAAGGAGGCUGGGGGCAAUCUCAUUGCUCUGUACAGCUUUCUGGGGAGGGGAAGUGGAGAGGGAGGUUAAGAUCUCUUCUCCCUGGGGUCCAGUGGUGGGAUGUGUGGGAAUGGUUCAAAGCUGCAUCAUCAGGGGAGGUUUGGACUGGACAUUAGGAACCUCUUCACCAGGAGGGUGGUCAAACACCAGAACAGACUUCCUGGAGAGGUGGUUGAUGGCCCAAGCCUGUGUUUAAGAGGCAUUUGGAGAAUGCCCUUAACAAUCUGCUUUGACUUUUGGUUACCCUGAAGUGGUCAGGCUGUUGGACUAGAUCUUCUUUGUAGGUCCUUUCCAAGUGAAAUAUUUCUGUUCUGUUCUGUAUCACAAGGAAGACUACAGAAAGUGUGUUGAAGACACUAAACAUUGCAUUUUUGUAAACAAUUUAAGUGUUUUUUUCUUGGGACAACUGUAUGACUAGAGAAUUAAAUAAGAGACAGUUACAAUCACCAAUUAGAAGUCUGUACUACACCCUCUGUUUUGGAAAUUGCUGCCCAUUGCAGCCAAGUGCCAUGUUUUGUGUCCUUUGACCAGCCAAAAAAGACAUGCUCUACCUGGAACCCCAAUGUGUCCCUGACUCCGUCCCAGCAGGGUGAGGAUCUGGUCCCCACAGCAAGGACUGCCAGCCCCAGCUGGUACCUGCUGGCUGCCUCCCUGCAGGUGUUCUAGGGGGGUUUGGCAUGGGAGGACAGCCCACAUCCCACAGAAUCCUGUGGUGGGGCUGACUAAUGGCUGAGCCACGUCUCCAGUACAAUCACGUUGCUUACAGUAAGCCCAUCUCCUCUCAUUUCCUGGAGGGCAGUGGCUGGGUGCCAUUUGGACUUUUUCCCAUGCCUUUUGUGAAAAAGGCAGGAGGUCUUAUGGAGCUCUGGGCUGCCCAUGUCACCUGAUGUGUGGGUGUGGGGGCUCAGCAUCAUCUCAGGACCACCCUCCUUGGGCCAUCCCCUCAUGAGAGGGCUUGGUGCAGCCUGACCCUGUGAGCUCACACCAGCACUGCUGGCAGCACCCACUUCCUGCACUGAGCCCUGAAAAUUCCGGUCGGGCACCCAACACCUGCCAGUUUCUUUUUAGUCAGAGGCUCUGCGACACCGGGUUUUAUCUGUCCUUCCCUGCCCUAUGACAAUCCCUCAUCCCACUGACUCAUCUGAAGGUAAAUAGUGCCCAGGUAACCUGGCACUCAGCAGGAAACCCUCACCUCUGCUGUGCCUGAUCACAGGUAACCUUCAAGAAUGCCCCAGGAGAAACAUUUGGUGCACUUUUCCAGCAAAGUGUUUAAAAACAUUUAUCAAUCCAAAACCACCACUGCACUGGGAUUAUCAUAUGACAUAUUGGUUGUGUCUACUUAUGUUUUCAGUAAGAUAACAAUGGCUCAGGCUUGUUAAUCUAUAAAGAGAAUUAGGGCACUGUAAUGGCAUAGGCAUGCUUGGAAAGGGCCUGAUAACUUCUUUGUUAUAAAUACAGUUUUGCUUGUCUCUUUCCUUCCUUUUUUUAGUACAAAUGAAAUGGAUCAGAUGAAUAAAUCAGUGCCUAAAUCUCCAUC